Molecule: ribosomal RNA, 253 nt
Filed under: uncultured bacterium
Lineage: Bacteria
Description: partial 16S ribosomal RNA
Rfam family: Bacterial small subunit ribosomal RNA
Source: RNAcentral
UACGUAGGGUGCGAGCGUCAAUCGGAAUUACUGGGCGUAAAGUGUGCGCAGGCGGCUCUGCAAGUCGAGUGUGAAAUCCCCGGGCUUAACUUGGGAAUGGCGCUCGAAACUACGGAGCUCGAGUGUGGCAGAGGGGGGUGGAAUUCCACGUGUAGCGGUGAAAUGCGUAGAGAUGUGGAGGAACACCAAUGGCGAAGGCAGCCCCCUGGGCCAACACUGACGCUCUUGCACGAAAGCGUGGGGAGCAAACAGG